This is a long non-coding RNA of Oncorhynchus keta (chum salmon), 1243 nucleotides long. RefSeq lists it as uncharacterized. The record is from RefSeq and is a predicted model, not a curated record. The transcript has 2 exons. Lineage: Eukaryota; Metazoa; Chordata; Actinopteri; Salmoniformes; Salmonidae.
UCAAGCUUAAAGCAGGAAUCGACAGAUCGUGGGUGACCCUAUGCCGCCCCACGUCUUGUGUAAUGUUUUCAAUUCGGAAAAAAAACAAGGGGAUUAAAUCCUGAGCCACCUUGGGCUGGCCUUCUGGGAAAGGUGUGUCUUUUGCGUUAAAUCCUGCCUACUCGAAUUACCCUGCUGCCAUGGUCCAGGAGCUGGAGAGGAAGUGAAAGUAACUUGCAAGCUAAUGUUACAGCUGCCAGAAACAAACACAGAGCAGAUGAAGCCAACAAGCUAGCUAACUUGUUUACCAAUAAACUGUCCUUGUAGCAGGGAAAACAGAAGCAAUAAUCAUUCUUGAAUCUGAAUCAACUCAACCCCAAAAGACUGCUCAUGACCAAUCCAUAAACCGGAUAAACAUUGGAAUUAAUUUUGAAAGGUGGUAGAGUUAAUCCAAAAUGGUCAUCGUUCUCAUGGACUUGUAGUCUCUGUUUUCUAGCCCUCCCGGUUCUGACCGGUUCUGCCUGCCCUGACACUGAGCACGCCUUCCUGACCAUUCAGCCUGCCCUGACCUCUAGCCUGCCUGCCCCCUGUACCUCUUGGACUCUGACCUGGUUAAUGGACUUCUGCCUGUUCUCGACCUGACUAUUGCCUGCCCCUUGUAUUCUAAUAAAUAUCAGAGACUAUAACUAUCUGCCUCCUGUGUCUGCAUCUGGGUCUCACCCUGUGUUGUUAAACAGUUUGGUUUCGGUAGAUAAGUCACUGCCAAUAAACGCUAAUGUUAGCAUUUUCGGUAGAAAUACAUUACUUAACUCAGCAUAGUAUGUCUAAAGUUGUGUAACACUUUUACAACAGUCUGGCACUUUUGUAAUAAAAUUGUCAAUAUAUUUUCUUAAACAUCUUCUGUAUUGUGUGCUUAUUGUUUAACCAUUCAUACACUAUGUUCUAGGGCAGUGGUUCUCAAACUUAUUCGGUUACUGUACCAGCAACUGAAUUUUGCUCUGCCUUGAGUACCGCCUCAUGUGCAUUUUACCAGUCAGCCUAUGAUCUCAUGAUUCUUCUAAAGUACCCCCUGGUUGGGAACCACUGUUCUAGGGGACAUUAAGACCUUAACUCCUGUUGGUAUAAGUCCUUAAAUAGCAACAUCUACUAAACUAACAUAUGGAAUUAUUUUAAGAUGAUCAUAAAACGUGUAAUUUAGCCAUUUGAUUAAAAAUUUCAGGACCCAUGUAGGUAUAAAAAAAAAUAAACAAAUGAUUUGCUGAAA